Molecule: long non-coding RNA, 1436 nt
Organism: Talpa occidentalis (Iberian mole)
Lineage: Eukaryota; Metazoa; Chordata; Mammalia; Eulipotyphla; Talpidae
Exons: 7
Source: RefSeq, a predicted model, not a curated record
ACAUGAACUGAAUCAUUUUCAUUCUCAUCUGUUACCAACAUUGACCCUACACACACCCUAGCUCUCAUCUCCACCCAACACUACACCAUGAAACUCAUUUUUGAACAAAAUAUUAAUGGGAGCACAAACGGAUAGAGCAAUAAAAAUGUAUCCAUAUCAUUACAAAAGAAGUCACAGAAGUGACAUGUGAGCUGGAUCUUUGCCAGACAGAGGAUGGACAGAGUGGGGGAAGGGCGAGUGCCUUCCAGGUGAAGACACGAUAAGAAGUGGAGAAGCUGGCUGCCUGCAAACCAGAGUGAGGACUCUUACCAGACAGUGAAUGCAUUCAAAUCACAAUAGAAAAUCAAGUGAUUCAUGUUGGCGCAGAGAAAGAAAAAUCAUUAUUGUUCACUGUGUUUUCUAGAAGGAACAUAGAGAAUCGGGUUUGGUGGUUUUCAGGCAGCAUCAUGUAAGAACACUUAAAAUUAAAGAGCAAAGAUUGAGUUCUAAAAAAGGAAUAUUUGGGGACCCCGAAGCAUUUCAGGGAUGCUGAGUCAGAAAAGGAAGGAGAAUCAAAUGUUAACCCUGAGGAAGUGCAGCAAGUCCAGGUGUUGCAAAGCAAGCAAGCCCCAGGGAUCUGCACACCUGUACCAUUGCACACCUGUACCAUUCUGGCAACUCUGUGAAGGAUGGAGAGGGUGAGCCACGGUUUGAGCUCAGAGAGCUGUACAAGCAUAUUUGAGAAACCCAGCUUUAUUCCCUCUCAUAUGUAACUAUUCCACAAGCCUCAAAGACAUUGGGCUUCUCUGCGUGGUCAAAGUUGAGUUGCAAGAUCAUAUGAGUUCCAAAGAGAAAGAUGAGGGAGUGAAUUGUGAUGUUGAAGUGCAGGUCUAAAAAUGCAUUAAGUCUCUUUUGCCUGCAUUCCAAAGCUCUAAAUUAAUCCAUUGCCUCAGCUGCAAGAGAACUUAGGAAAUUCAUUCUCUAACUGGAUAACCAUGGGCUACCAGCCCACUCACUGACAGAAUGGAAGACUGGUCUUCAAUGGACAGCCCAGUGAUAAGCUUUAUCCAAACUGGUGCUGUCUCAGGAUUCCUGGACUGCCUAUCUAGCCAGGUCUCCUCUGCAUGGAAGUGAAGUGAGGAGACUCAGAAGAUUGAAUAGAAAGAAGGCAUGUUACUGGAAUACAUAAAGAAUUAGACAUUCUUCUAAAGUGUACUGUUUCUUACUCCCAAUGGAAAUUGAACCAAUUCAAGUCACUUUGCUUUUAUAGCUUCCAUUUUUCUCCAAUUUAAAAAUAAAAGAGCAACUAAUAACACUAGGCCAUCAGUUCAGCUCUCUGGAAGCUAAGUGAGAGUAUUCCUGUCCCCUGCUUUCCAGUGCAAGAGUAACAACAACUUGCAAAGGACAUUAUGGACUAUUCAGUUAGACUACCAAAACAGAGUCAAAAAUAGCUCAUA